Molecule: ribosomal RNA, 253 nt
Filed under: uncultured bacterium
Lineage: Bacteria
Description: partial 16S ribosomal RNA
Rfam family: Bacterial small subunit ribosomal RNA
Source: RNAcentral
UACGAAGGGUGCAAGCGUUAAUCGGAAUUACUGGGCGUAAAGCGUGCGUAGGUGGUCUUUUAAGUCCGGUGUGAAAGCCCUGGGCUCAACCUGGGAAUGGCAGUGGAUACUGGAAGGCUGGAGUACGGUAGAGGAGGGUGGAAUUCCCGGUGUAGCGGUGAAAUGCGUAGAGAUCGGGAGGAACAUCAGUGGCGAAGGCGGCCCUCUGGACCAGUACUGACGCUGAGGCACGAAAGCGUGGGGAGCAAACAGG